AUGAACAUCACUCAGAUCUGUAGCUCUAAUUCGAAAUUACAAGCAGGGAGAAAGGAGGAAGAGAGUUACAAGCAAACGGCGGACUGCCGUGCCAAACUGGCCGCCCUCACAAGGAAGCUGUCCUCCUUAUUUAUCCUACCUCGUGGUCCAUUCCUUGCCAGCGUAGCACGUGGAUGGGCGCCUGACCCUCCUGUGGGCCCCGACGUCAGUGGAAGACCUUGGCUUGUUGACUGGGUCUUGGCUGCCCUGGCCGUCAUCCUCUGUAACCGGCUCGGUGAUGCUAACAUUCCCUCUCCCUUGGAACACAGCUUGCCCCCAAGUUGUUGCACGAGGAAAACGCUGCUGCAGUUCCUAUAA
RNAcentral lists this ribosomal RNA (357 nucleotides) under Triticum aestivum (bread wheat). RNAcentral describes it as "partial small subunit ribosomal RNA". Lineage: Eukaryota; Viridiplantae; Streptophyta; Magnoliopsida; Poales; Poaceae. The record is from RNAcentral.